This 4320-nucleotide long non-coding RNA is filed under the name Triticum aestivum (bread wheat). RNAcentral describes it as "long non-coding RNA (TAES_LNC012103)". The record is from RNAcentral. Lineage: Eukaryota; Viridiplantae; Streptophyta; Magnoliopsida; Poales; Poaceae.
CCUGUUGACAACUCUAAAAAGAGUGAAACUGAAAAUGUGCGUGCCAACAAUGGAGUUGCUAAAAAGAAAGGGAAGAAAGGAUCUUCUAAAGAUGACGAUGCUGACAAUGCUAGCGACCUCCGUUCACCAAUCUGUUGCAUCCUUGGUCAUGUCGAUACUGGAAAGACAAAGCUGCUGGACUGUAUUAGACGAACUAAUGUACAAGAAGGAGAAGCUGGCGGUAUUACUCAACAGAUUGGAGCUACAUACUUCCCAACUGAGAAUAUUAGAGAGAGAACAAGGGAAUUGAAGGCUGAUGCUACUCUCAAGGUUCCAGGCCUGCUUGUUAUUGAUACCCCUGGUCACGAGUCCUUCAGUAAUCUGCGUUCUAGAGGUUCAAGUUUGUGCGACAUUGCUAUUUUGGUUGUCGACAUUAUGCAUGGGCUUGAACCCCAGACAAUUGAAUCCCUGAAUCUCUUGAAAAGUCGAGAUGCAGUAUUUAUCGUUGCUUUGAACAAGGUACCAUUCUUUGGAUUUUUGCCCCUUUGACCUUAGGCUUCUUGCUGUUCUGCCAUUUACUUGUUUGUUUCUUAUCACUGUAUGAAGGUUGAUCGUCUUUAUGGUUGGAAGACCUGCCCCAAUGCUCCUAUCGGGAAAGCCUUGAGACAACAAAAUGAUGAUGUCAAGUUGGAGUUCAAUACAAGGCUUACUGAUGUACGUGGACAUUAUUGCUUUCUCCUUUUCUUUUUAUUAUGGAAAGAACUACUAGUUGGUGAUGUUCUAAUCACAUGUAUGUGCUUUGUCCAACAGAUUGUGACACAAUUCAAGAUGCAAGGUGUGAAUACUGCUUUGUACUACAAGAACAAAGAGAUGGAAGAUACAUUUAACAUUGUGCCUACCAGUGCAGUAAGGUAUGGUCAACCAUUAAUCUUUUUGGUUCAUUCAUUCAGAUAUCUGGCAGCAAGUACGAUAUUACUAGCAUCUUUUCCUUAACACAUAAUGCACUUCUCCCUGCAGUGGUGAAGGCAUUCCUGAUCUGCUUCUACUAUUGGUGCAAUGGGCGCAAAAGACGAUGGAAGAAAAGCUUACUUUUGUUGAUGAAGUCCAGGUACUGUGCAUAUAUGAGUUUACAAGUCAUCACUAUAGAAGAAUGCACUUGUAUGAUCUUAUCUUUUUCUGUUUAAGUGUACUGUGCAUAAAUAUACUUGCUGUUUUAGAAGAAUGCAGUCUUACGAUCUUAUCUUAUUGUGUGUCAGUGUACUGUCCUGGAAGUCAAGGUUAUCGAAGGUCAUGGCACUACAGUUGAUGUUGUGCUGGUCAAUGGUAUGCUCCAUGAAGGAGAUCAAAUAGUCGUGUGUGGUAUGCAGGUAAGAAUCACUUUUUUGUGUAAUUGUAAUUGCUGUAGCAAAUACAUCAGCAGCACAUGAAGAUUCAUUAUGUUCUCGUUGUAUAUCUAUUUAGGGACCCAUUGUGACAACCAUCAGAGCUUUGUUAACACCACACCCGAUGAAGGAGCUUCGAGUCAAGGUGUGUGGCUCAUUAUACUGUGCCUUCAUUUAAUUUCUUAUUUUACAUCCAAGAUAUUGCUGUUCAACUAGGCUGCCACCUUGAAGAUUCAUUCUCUUUUGGUGCUUUGAUGACUGGGGACCUAUUUAUAGUUUUGAUCAAAACAUUUACAUACUGGGAGGUUUAUAUUAUGCAUACUUUGUUCAAAAGAUUUAUGUUCUCAUGUCAUUUUGUGCCUAUGUGAAAAUAACAAAUUAAUGUCAUGCUAACUCUACGAAGAAAGCUUAAGGGCAUGCUUGGUUUGCAGCAAUACUUUGCCAAAUGUUAGGCAGACAUGUGUGGCGAGUGUUUGGAUGCAGCAGUCACAGGUGGCAUGCCACACUUUCUUAGUCAGUCACCCCACUAGUCAUAGACUCAGUUUCCAGCCAACUUUUGCCACAAGUGUGCUGACCAAUUUGUCCGAGGGCAACCAAACAUAUCCUGAAUAUUUUCCACCUGCCGCCUUCUCUUUCUCUGUUAAGUUCGUUAUGGGUUGAGUUUCUUCACUUCAAUCAAUGCCACUCACCAGCAUGAAUUUUCCCCUUCUUUAUAUUAAUGUAUUUCAAUGAAAGGUAGUAGUUAUAUCUGUAUUUCUUCAUAGGCACCACCAUGCUUACGCCUUAUGAGGACACUUGAACACUUGCAUAUUAUGAUUCAUUGCUUUCUUUUGCACUAAGAUGAUUUGAGCCUUGGUUUACCUUUUAAGUUUUAGUUGACUAAUUCAUUUUAACACAAUUUCAGGGCACGUACCUUCACCAUAAGAAGAUCAGAGCUGCACAAGGAAUUAAAAUAUCAGCUCAGGUGGGUUCAUUAAAUUUUUGGCACUUCAGAGUGUAAGUAUCAGCCCACUUCUGAAAAAUAACGAGUGUUCUCUGUCAGGGUCUCGAACAUGCAAUUGCUGGGACUGCUCUCUAUGCUUUACGACCUGAUGCAGAUAUAGAGGACCUGAAGGAUGCUGUAAUGGAAGAGAUGUCAAGGGUUAGGAACCGGAUCGAUAAGAGUGGCGAGGGUGUCUAUGUGCAAGCAUCUACGCUUGGGUCAUUGGAAGCUCUGACCGAGUUCUUGAAGAGCCCUGCUGUGAAUAUCCCCUUCUGUGAUUUCAGCAUAGGCCCAGUGCACAAGAAAGAUGUUAUGAAGGCUAGUGUUAUGCUUGAGAGGAAGAAGGAAUAUGCAACUAUCUUGGCGUUUGAUGUCAAAGUGAUGCCUGAUGCCCGUGAUCUUGCAGAAGAGUCUGGCGUGAAGAUCUUCGUGGCAGAUAUAAUAUACCACCUUUUUGACCAAUUUACAGCAUACAUUAAGAACAUAAGGGAAGAGAAGAAGAAGGACAGUGCCGAAGAAGCUGUUUUCCCCUGUGUUCUUAAGAUCAUGCCGAACUGUGUCUUCAACAAGAAGGAUCCAAUUGUUUUGGGUGUCGAUAUCCUUGAAGGGAUAGCCAAGGUAUUUUGUUCGAUCAGUGAAAAUUUAUAUUUUCUCAAUCCAUUUUUACUGGGUUGUUUAGCUGAGAAGUUAACUUUCUAUAAUACCCAGCAUUCUUAACUGGCCUAGAUGAACAAAUGCCAGUAGUCUCACCAUCUAGAAAAUUAGAAACUGUCAUAUGUGUCCGUAGACAUGAAUGUUAUGUUAUGUUAUUUUUUCUCAUACAUCAUGCUGUUUUUGAGCUUUGACGUCCUUCUCAAGCUGUUUUUCUAGAAUACUUGCUAGUUGAGAAUUAACCACCUAGAUGACCAAAUACCUCAUAAUCUAGAAAGUGUCUUAAGACUUGAAUAUUAUCAUUGAGUGGUCUUUCCCCUGUCAUGUAGGUGGGAACGCCUCUGUGCAUACCCUCGAAAGAAUUUAUUGAUAUUGGGAAGAUUGCCUCCAUUGAAAUUAAUCACAAGCAAGUCGAUACGGCCACAAAAGGACAAAAGGUGGCUAUAAAGGUAUGUAUUAACCCAUGUUAUUUUUUUGAACCUGUCUGUAUUAUCCUGUGUGUGUUACUCUGCUCUUUUUUGUUCUUGUUAGAUUUAUAUAUCAGGUUUUGUCUGACAUAUGUUGUUGUUUCCUGGGUGGGUGGUGAGCAGAUCAUUGGGAGCAACUCUGAUGAGCAGCAGAAGAGCUUCGGCAGGCACUUUGAGAUGGAGGACGAGCUGGUCAGCCACAUCACAAGGCGGUCCAUCGACCUUCUCAAAGAAAACUACAGGGCAAGUCAAGCGUUUCUUUCUUGUUUGUUUGCAUGUGCAUUGAUUGGUUCACCCUGUUGUGUGCCCAUAUACUCUGAGUUAGUGAUAUUUUGUUGACUGGUGACCAACAGGAUGACUUGACGAUGGACGACUGGAAACUUGUGAUGAAGCUGAAGAAGAUACUGAGCAUUCCAUGAGCCUGUUGACAAAAAAAAGAGCCGGCGCGACCCCAUCAGCGAAGAGCCCCCCGAAGCCACCUCGGGUCGGCACGAGACACAGAGAGUGCGUGCAUAAAUUGGCGAGGGCGGUAGUUCUUUUUGUUGCGCCAUUCCACAGACACGGUGUUUCAAUUUUGAUGACGAUGAUGAUACGGUUGGUUGGUCGGAGAGAUGAUGCGCCUAUAACUUUAUUGCAAGUAAUAACAGCAGAUUUACUUACCUUUGGGAGGGAGAGGGAACCGCGCUUUUCUUUUUGGUUUUGAUUGAUGGUGUUUUGUUGCACUGUGUUAACCUGAUUUGGUGUGAUUGAGGCUAUGCAUAUUCCCGCACCUAGAUUAUAGGUAGAGUACUGGUUGGAAUCGUUUCAACAAGGUGGCAUAAAGAAGCAGGGUACCGAAAAUACAAGUUAUAUAGUUUAC